AAGUCGUAGCAAGGUUUCCGUAGGUGAACCUGCGGAAGGAUCAUUAUCCAAAACAUUAAAACAACCCUGUGAACCUUCAGCGUGUUCUUGCAGGACAUCAAAACAGUAAUCCCGAGUAAAAUCAGCUAAAGAAUUACAGAUUUUGAUUUUGGGAAGUUCUGUGUGAACGUGGACGCUGCAAUUGAGCGCUAGAUAACCCUAGAGCACUCCCCUGUCUGAAAGCGGCAGGGAUCAAUGUUCAGGUGUAGGUCCACACGACCGGCGACCGGGGUGGAGACGAAAGCCCCUAUGUACCCGGACGAAAGCUGACUCGUCAGGAUAUCUUGGUUCUC
Molecule: unclassified non-coding RNA, 332 nt
Filed under: fungal sp.
Lineage: Eukaryota; Fungi
Description: partial internal transcribed spacer region
Rfam family: Eukaryotic small subunit ribosomal RNA (bases 1-46)
Source: RNAcentral